AAAUGGAUGAACGGAAUGGAUGAAAUAUAUACAUCAUGGUGGAGCCCACAGAGCACCGACCACCAGCCACGGGCUGGUGGCAGGGGGAGUAGCCAAUCCGUUUCCCCCGAGGACGCAGUUCAAGGCCUCAGGUCGGGGGUACCCGAGAAUGCCUCUGUCGACAGGGUGAGGGACUCUCUCCCUGCUCGAUCUACGGCGUAUAAAUAUGACACCGCGCAUUUCGCACCUCAAAGGUGUCCGAACAACGAUUUUAUCGUGCGCCGCUAUUUAUUUCCCUUCCUAUGUCGCUGUAGCGCGCGGGUGGGGCGCAAGAUAGCAGGGACCUUUGGGGAUAUGAUGGAGGGAGAUCUACUCGUAUGGCUCCUCUCCUUCUUCAUCCUCAUCGCUCUGCUCGGUCUUCUCGUCUACCAGCUUAUGUGCUUGGCAGACUUGGAGUUUGACUACAUCAACCCAUAUGAUUCAGCAUCACGGAUAAACAGCGUGAUCUUGCCAGAGUUUGUCACUCAAGGAGUCUUAUGUGCAGUGUUUCUUCUCUCAGGGCACUGGAUUAUGUUUCUGUUCUCUGCACCAAACCUUUAUUACAAUGUGAAACUGUAUACAGCAAGGCAACACUUGAUAGAUGUAACAGAGAUAUUUAACCUUCUCAACAGAGAAAAGAAGCAACGCCUUUUCAAGCUUAUUUAUCUCGUGUUCCUUCUCUUCCUCUCCAUAUUCUGGAUGGUUUGGUCGGCAUUGGAGGAUGAUUGAUCAGUUUCGGUUGAUAUGCAUCUCUUCACCUCCCUGGGUAAUCCAGCUCCAUGGCACUUGCAGUUUGGAGGCAUGCCUGAUUAACGGCCCAGAUCUUGCACGCACCCGCCUAUUUGAGCAGCUUUAAGCACUCUCAAGUAUAAAAUUCCCCAAAUUGGUACCUUGAGGCUAGGAUCUCAUGAUUAUGCAGAUUCAGAAGUAGGAGUUUGUAGAAUUUGAAGUAGGCCUGUCAAGCUUGUCUUGGAUUUCAAUCCCCAUUUCUGAUUUUCCGCUGUUGUAAACAUGUGUUUAUCUAUUUGAUUUUAAGGUGUUUGCUGA
Molecule: RNA transcript, 1065 nt
Organism: Magnolia sinica
Lineage: Eukaryota; Viridiplantae; Streptophyta; Magnoliopsida; Magnoliales; Magnoliaceae
Gene name: protein cornichon homolog 4-like
Exons: 6
Source: RefSeq, a predicted model, not a curated record